GGUUAAGCGACUAAGCGUACACGGUGGAUGCCCUGGCAGUCAGAGGCGAUGAAGGACGUGCUAAUCUGCGAAAAGCGCCGGCGAGGUGAUAUGAACCCUUGACCCGGCGAUGUCCGAAUGGGGAAACCCAGUGCAAUCCGUUGCACUAUCGUUAACUGAAUACAUAGGUUAACGAGGCGAACCGGGGGAACUGAAACAUCUAAGUACCCCGAGGAAAAGAAAUCAACCGAGAUUCCCCCAGUAGCGGCGAGCGAACGGGGAGCAGCCCGGAGUCUGAAUCAGCUUGUGUGUUAGUGGAACGGUCUGGAAAGUCCGACGGUACAGGGUGAUAGUCCCGUACACGAAAGCACACUUGCUGUGAACUCGAAGAGUAGGGCGGGACACGUGGUAUCCUGUCUGAAUAUGGGGGGACCAUCCUCCAAGGCUAAAUACUCCUGACUGACCGAUAGUGAACCAGUACCGUGAGGGAAAGGCGAAAAGAACCCCGGCGAGGGGAGUGAAAAAGAACCUGAAACCGUGUACGUACAAGCAGUGGGAGCCUCUUUAUGGGGUGACUGCGUACCUUUUGUAUAAUGGGUCAGCGACUUAUAUUCUGUAGCAAGGUUAACCGUAUAGGGGAGCCGAAGGGAAACCGAGUCUUAACUGGGCGUUAAGUUGCAGGGUAUAGACCCGAAACCCGGUGAUCUAGCCAUGGGCAGGUUGAAGGUUGGGUAACACUAACUGGAGGACCGAACCGACUAAUGUUGAAAAAUUAGCGGAUGACCUGUGGCUGGGGGUGAAAGGCCAAUCAAACCGGGAGAUAGCUGGUUCUCCCCGAAAGCUAUUUAGGUAGCGCCUCGUGAACUCAUCUUCGGGGGUAGAGCACUGUUUCGGCUAGGGGGCCAUCCCGGCUUACCAACCCGAUGCAAACUACGAAUACCGAAGAAUGUUAUCACGGGAGACACACGGCGGGUGCUAACGUCCGUCGUGAAGAGGGAAACAACCCAGACCGCCAGCUAAGGUCCCAAAGUCAUGGUUAAGUGGGAAACGAUGUGGGAAGGCACAGACAGCCAGGAUGUUGGCUUAGAAGCAGCCAUCAUUUAAAGAAAGCGUAAUAGCUCACUGGUCGAGUCGGCCUGCGCGGAAGAUGUAACGGGGCUAAACCAUGCACCGAAGCUGCGGCAGCGACGCUUAUGCGUUGUUGGGUAGGGGAGCGUUCUGUAAGCCGUUGAAGGUGUGCUGUGAGGCAUGCUGGAGGUAUCAGAAGUGCGAAUGCUGACAUAAGUAACGAUAAAGCGGGUGAAAAGCCCGCUCGCCGGAAGACCAAGGGUUCCUGUCCAACGUUAAUCGGGGCAGGGUGAGUCGACCCCUAAGGCGAGGCCGAAAGGCGUAGUCGAUGGGAAACAGGUUAAUAUUCCUGUACUUGGUGUUACUGCGAAGGGGGGACGGAGAAGGCUAUGUCAGCCGGGCGACGGUUGUCCCGGUUUAAGCAUGUAGGCGGAGGUUCCAGGUAAAUCCGGUACCUUAUUAACGCUGAGGUGUGAUGACGAGGCACUACGGUGCUGAAGUGAUAAAUGCCCUGCUUCCAGGAAAAGCCUCUAAGCAUCAGGUAACACGAAAUCGUACCCCAAACCGACACAGGUGGUCAGGUAGAGAAUACCAAGGCGCUUGAGAGAACUCGGGUGAAGGAACUAGGCAAAAUGGUGCCGUAACUUCGGGAGAAGGCACGCUGAUGUGUAGGUGAAGCCCCUGCGGGCGGAGCUGAAAUCAGUCGAAGAUACCAGCUGGCUGCAACUGUUUAUUAAAAACACAGCACUGUGCAAACACGAAAGUGGACGUAUACGGUGUGACGCCUGCCCGGUGCCGGAAGGUUAAUUGAUGGGGUUAGCGGCAACGCGAAGCUCUUGAUCGAAGCCCCGGUAAACGGCGGCCGUAACUAUAACGGUCCUAAGGUAGCGAAAUUCCUUGUCGGGUAAGUUCCGACCUGCACGAAUGGCGUAAUGAUGGCCAGGCUGUCUCCACCCGAGACUCAGUGAAAUUGAACUCGCUGUGAAGAUGCAGUGUACCCGCGGCAAGACGGAAAGACCCCGUGAACCUUUACUAUAGCUUGACACUGAACACUGGUCCUUGAUGUGUAGGAUAGGUGGGAGGCUUUGAAGCGUGGACGCCAGUCUGCGUGGAGCCAACCUUGAAAUACCACCCUUUAAUGGCUGGUGUUCUAACGUAGACCCGUAAUCCGGGUUGCGGACAGUGUCUGGUGGGUAGUUUGACUGGGGCGGUCUCCUCCCAAAGAGUAACGGAGGAGCACGAAGGUUGGCUAAUCCUGGUCGGACAUCAGGAGGUUAGUGCAAUGGCAUAAGCCAGCUUGACUGCGAGCGUGACGGCGCGAGCAGGUGCGAAAGCAGGUCAUAGUGAUCCGGUGGUUCUGAAUGGAAGGGCCAUCGCUCAACGGAUAAAAGGUACUCCGGGGAUAACAGGCUGAUACCGCCCAAGAGUUCAUAUCGACGGCGGUGUUUGGCACCUCGAUGUCGGCUCAUCACAUCCUGGGGCUGAAGUAGGUCCCAAGGGUAUGGCUGUUCGCCAUUUAAAGUGGUACGCGAGCUGGGUUUAGAACGUCGUGAGACAGUUCGGUCCCUAUCUGCCGUGGGCGCUGGAGAAUUGAGGGGGGCUGCUCCUAGUACGAGAGGACCGGAGUGGACGCAUCACUGGUGUUCGGGUUGUCAUGCCAAUGGCACUGCCCGGUAGCUAAAUGCGGAAGAGAUAAGUGCUGAAAGCAUCUAAGCACGAAACUUGCCCCGAGAUGAGUUCUCCCUGAGACUUUAAGUCUCCUGAAGGAACGUUGAAGACGACGACGUUGAUAGGUCGGGUGUGUAAGCGCAGCGAUGCGUUGAGCUAACCGAUACUAAUGAACCGUGAGGCUUAACCUU
This 2906-nucleotide ribosomal RNA is filed under the name Enterobacter hormaechei. RNAcentral describes it as "23S ribosomal RNA". It matches the Rfam family "Bacterial large subunit ribosomal RNA". Lineage: Bacteria; Pseudomonadati; Pseudomonadota; Gammaproteobacteria; Enterobacterales; Enterobacteriaceae. The record is from RNAcentral. RNAcentral also lists the same sequence under 1 other name.